Molecule: unclassified non-coding RNA, 240 nt
Filed under: soil metagenome
Description: partial contains 5.8S ribosomal RNA, internal transcribed spacer 2, and large subunit ribosomal RNA
Source: RNAcentral
AACCUUAUGGACCUGCGGGCGUAUACCUGCGGAGGGAUCAUUACCGAGUGAGGGCCCUCCGGGUCCAACCUCCCACCCGUGUUUAACGAACCUUGUUGCUUCGGCGGGCCCGCCUCACGGCCGCCGGGGGGCACCCCGCCCCCGGGCCCGCGCCCGCCGAAGACACCUGUGAACGCUGUCUGAAGUUGCAGUCUGAGACACUAGCUCAAUCAGUUAAAACUUUUAACAACGGAUCUCAGA